GACGCGCGCGUACGCACCGCGCGCCCGAGGCAGCCUGUCGCCGGCAUGGCCGGCGCGGCGGCGCGGCGGUGCCUGGCGGGGUUCCCGGCGGAGGCGCGGGAGCUGAGCCUGGCAGAGUCUGUGCCCUACCUUGAGAGCCCACUGUCUCCUCUGGAGUUUCACCGGGAAUGGGUAUGUCCAAACAGGCCCUGCAUCAUUCACAACGCCUUCGAUCACUGGCCAGCUCUGAAGAAGUGGACGCUGCCCUAUCUCAGAGAGGUAAUGGGCUCCAAGGCGGUGAGUGUGGCUGUAACACCAAAUGGUUAUGCCGAUGCAGUUUAUCAAGACCGGUUUGUUAUGCCAGAAGAGCGACACAUGCCUUUCAGCAGCUUCUUGGACAUCGUGGAGAAGAAAGUGACAUCGCCUGGUGUCUUCUAUGUGCAGAAGCAGUGUUCAAACCUAACUGAGGAGUUCCCUGAGCUCUUGGGUGAUGUGGAGCCUGACAUACCGUGGAUGAGUGAGACACUAGGAAAAAAGCCUGAUGCUGUGAAUUUCUGGCUUGGGGAGUCUGGUGCUGUGACAUCCUUACAUAAAGAUCACUAUGAGAACUUGUACUGUGUGAUCUCUGGAGAGAAGCACUUUCUACUGCAUCCACCCAGUGAUCGUCCCCUCAUCCCAUAUGAAUUCUACCUCCCAGCAACGUACCACAUAUCAGAAAAUGGCUCAUUUAAGGUUGUAGAUAAAGAGGCUGUGGACAAGGUACCAUGGAUUCCAGUGGAUCCUUUAAAUCCAGAUCUGAAACGAUACCCAGAGUAUGCCCAGGCAAAGCCUUUGCAUUGCAUAGUAAAAGCUGGUGAAAUGUUGUACCUCCCUUCGCUCUGGUUCCAUCAUGUUCAGCAGUCACAUGGCUGUAUAGCAGUGAAUUACUGGUAUGACAUGGAAUAUGACCUGAAGUACAGCUAUUAUCAACUACUAGAUUCUCUCUCAGAAGCUGUGAAACUGGUGUAACAGAGAAAGGAGACUUGGGGCUCAUAACUUUUCUGUCUGAUAUAAUAGACUCCUGUUCCUGGGGUAAUAUUGUGCUUGAGUCAGAAGAACGGAACGUGAAUUACCCUCAGCAAAUGUCUAUAAAAAAAUGGAUGACUGUGUUGUUUGCCUUUGGAAAUGGCAUCAUACAGAAGUUUGGUGAAAUUUCAGGCCAGUUGGUUACAUUUUGUGUUUUGACAAGAGAAUACUUGACCUCAUUUUUAAGCCUUUGCAAUUUGCCUCAGGUUUCACAAGUGAAACAAAAUUUUAACAGACCUAGUCCAGGUUUUGGAAACUCCCAAAUGCAAACCUUCUCCCUUUUAUAAAGUCUACAGAAAAUACACAGAGUGGUACCCAAGAGAUCUAUUUGGUAACUGGCAGAAUAACGAAGGAAAAAAAGCUCUGGUAUAAAUAAUGGAAUUGGCCCAGGACUUAGGUUCAUUACAAGACAACACUGCUUCUUGUUUUCAGGGGUGGUACCUAAUGCUUUGAAAUAGUGUUGUAAACAAGUCAGUCUGCAGCUUAUUUAUAUUUUUGUUAGAAACCCUACGUGAGAGAUGGAAGUGGGUCUGAGAGAAAAUCAUGGGCUAAUUGUGAUUGUUUUCAGUGUUGCCAUAUACACUUCAUCGUCCAGAUUGCCAGGCAUUGUGCUGGGUAGUGGGGGUGUAAGAGGGAGGAUGUUUCUUCAGUUAUUUUUAUAGCUAUACCUUUCAGUUUCCUCAGCAGUGACUUAACUGUGAGACUCAAAUUCCAUCUGGCCCCACCAACAGAAAAUCCCAUUUGCCAAAGCAUGGCAUGAAUAGGCAGCCUUUUACUAAUGGGGCCCAUGGCUUCUGACUCAGCUACUGCCUUGGGCUGCGAGUCCCUUGGCUGCUGCUUCAGCUGUUUCUGCUUUGUGUAGAAGGCUCAGCUUUCUUGCUGCCCCCCUCAAUGCAGUCUCUCCUGAAAAAUGUGCUGCUAAAAAGUGUGGUGAAUGAGGAUUUGAAGUGGCUUUUAGGGUGAUGAUGAUAAGUAGUGGUUGCAGCGGGGGAGUGGGGGGGAGAACAGCCUUCCACAGAGAGCAGGGAAAGUUGGAGCAGCACCAAGGGAUCAGUCUACCAUUUAAUAAAAUCUGGAGUACAGAAGAUAGGCUAGAUCAGUAGGCUAGGCAGCAGCUGGAGAUUGGCAGGUUGUUAGUUUAACAUAGAUUGAAACAGACCUUCAUGAGCCCAGUCCAGUCUCUUACCUGGCUGGAUCUUGGCCCAUGAGCUAUAGGUUUCCAACCCCCGAUCUUUAGGUUUGGUAAGGAAACUGUGAUGCUAUGUUAUAUCAGCUGGGGUAGAUGAUCAUAAAUUCCUAUUUACUUAAAACCUUUGAAAUGCAUGAUCAGGCAAGCAAUGUGAAUUAACUGCUGUAGACAAAGGCUGCCUAGACAUGUGCUUGGGGGUGGGGGCUGCUUUAAUUAGCAGUUCCUGGACAGCCGCUCUAAUUAAAAUGGCUCACCAUCAUGUGUAUUAAACCCUUGUGUGUUUCAAAAUGGCCACGAGUUCGUUAGAUGAGGUUGAGAUAAAGUGCCCCGUGGUCAUUUUGAAAUGUGUGGGGGGCUUAAUAUACAUGACGGUGAGGUGAUGCUGGAGCGUUCUAAUUAGAGCGAGAACUAGCAUCUCUGUAGGUACCCUUAGGCACUUAAAUGAUGACUUGCGUAAAAUGUAGUCAAAGUACUUACGCUUGUAUUAUUGAGCCCGACUGUACUAAAUAUAUAGACUGUUCAAAAGAUGUAGCAAGCAACAUGCUUAUUAAUAACACGUGACACUUUCAAUUUUUGAAUAACAUCACCAGUCUUCAAAGGUACAUACAAUUGUUAUCAGGGGCAUAUUGGCAGCAGCUGAUUUUUACAUACUGCGAGGCUGGAAAAGAAAUCCUUUAAUCUUUGUUUUAAUCUUUCAAGCGAAACAAAUGAAUUGUGAGCUUAAACAUGUCUUUACUUCUAGUUCUUGCUGAGCAUUUACUGAAAAUGAGAGAUGGAUUCAAGACAGCGCUCAGAUUCAUAACUAGUAUAGAACCUCAGGUAGCCUGGAAUUCAGGCCUGUUGUAGUCAUUCUACCUUUAUGGAGGAUCCCAAGCCAUGAGGUUCCAGAUCAUUUGAGAGUCAAAUCCAAACUUCUCUGGAGUUUGGAAGGAGAAAGGGCUUGGAUCUUUUUUUCUAAUUUGGCUCCAUUUGUUUCAGGUGCGUGUGCGCCCUCUCUCUCUCUCUCCCCUCCACUCCCAUGUGUACAUGCACAAAUAACUAAAAUAAAAAAAUAAAAUCCCUAGAAUAUAAAUAUGAUAUAUAUUCUAGAAUGGAUAUAUGCUUUAUAGAUAACGCUAGAGUUUCAAGUAUAUGGUUGCAGGCGCUGUGUAAUCUGCCUACAUCCUGCCAGCAUGCCACUGGAUGAAGCCUCUAUUGAAUGGAAGGUGCCCAUCAUGGCCAGUUGGUUUUGUGGUGUCAUUUGCAUACUACUAAUCUCUCAUCUCAUUUUUACUGUGCAUUAGGAUCUGAUCCUGAGAGUUGCUUAUUGCCAAAUAAUAAAACCAGUGGGAGUUGCAUGUGCUCAGCAGCUCUCAGGGUCACAACUUUAAGCUGAUGAAGGCAUGAAUGAAAGUUUUUUGAGAUGAAAUCCUAGUGUAUUCGCCCACCUCUGCGCAGCAUUGGGACAAACAUGGCAGCAAGGUGAAUUGACUUUAUGGAAUAUAAGACAGUGAUAUACUCCAAUAAUAAGAUUUCUACCCUUCUGGUUUCAACCCUGGUCCCUGUUCUCCUGUGACUAGGUAUCUACCUCUGCAGCUGAUAUAAAGUGCACUGAUGCUUUUUUCUCUACCUCAAAGAUGGUUCUAUCCCAAGAAAUGAAAUUUUGUACAAGUUCCGUUACAUACAUCAAUGAUUGACUUAGGUACAGUUUGUUUCAGGCUGAAAUGUCUGUGGUCACCAGAAAAUACAAAGUAUGUGCACAUGAACUGUGGUAGAAGGUGGAAAUGAACAGUGUAAACUAUGAAAUGUUUAAGCCAGGGGUGUCCAACUUCUGACCAGUGAGAGGGGGUGCACACUCCUCAGGCCACAGACCUCUUGGUACAGACCCCACAGGUGCCUCUGCCUGGAGUCCCCCCCUGAGCUGCAUAGGUAGUCUGGCUUCCCCCAACUUCAUGGAUGUUGGAAAAGAUUUGACUCCCUUCCCCUUGCCCCAUAGGCAAGGUGAACAGCCUGCUUCUUGUUUCGCAGGUGGUGUGAGCAGCCUGGCUCUCCUCUGCUGGGGGGGGGGGCACAGCCUCCCUUUUGGCUGUGCAGCAAACCAGCACCUCUCUUGCCAUUGAGGGCAGUGCAGGUCCCCUACCAGCUUCACUUCACCUCCACAAGCAGCCCUGCUUCUCUCCACUGCAUGAGCAGUAUACCCUCCCUUCUGGCUGUGUACACCGCAUGGGGAAACUUACCCCUCUCUUGCCUGGUGGGCAGCCUGGAUCUCCCUCUGCUAUGCAUGCAGUGCCCUCCUGCUGCUAGGCUUACUGUCCCCAGGACUGUGCUCAAGAAGCAGAAGCUGGAGGAGGGAGGGAGAGCCUGGAGAACCCAGCCACUGCAGAAGCAAGGGCAUUGGGGGGACCACUAGUUGGUUAGGAGCUCAGGGGCUGUAUUUUUACCUCUGGAAGGCCAGAUGCAGCCCACAGGAUGCCAGCUGGUUAGCCCUGGCUUAAGUCAUUAUUGUAAAUGUCCAAACAGUGAUCCUGGUAUUUAAUGCAGUUUUUCACCACUUCAUUGACUCGGGAUGCUAUUGAAUUUUCAUUGCUGGAUACGUGGGUCAUUAACCACUAACCUUGAGGGCUGAGUGGUUUUUCUAGUUACUCCUGCUUGAACCCAUCUUCAAAACAGAGCACCUGCUCCCUCAGAGUUUUUGCCGUGAGCGUUUUAAGCAGUGGAGAACUUUGUGUUUCCCUUCAUCUAUACUUACGUCAUGAAUUCUGGGAUCCUCCAAAAGUUUAUGUCCAGAUGAGGUGCAGGGCAACCUGGUAUCUAUCUAUAGUGUAUGUCAAGGGAAAUGAAGACAGUAGGAGGCUGUAGCUACAGUGUCCCAGCAUAACUAAAUGCAAGCACCUCUCUAUUAUUGCUUUAAGUUCAGUUUGUAACCGGUUACUGACAUGGCUGCUUCUGAAUAUCAUUUGUCUGCAUAUUGCAUUAUGUUAAUACAUGGCUGGCAGCCAUAGCAGCUCAUUGUGUGUCAUCUUUGCCAGUAGCCCCAGACUAUCAGGACCUAGAACAGUGGUUAUCAACCUGUUUAUACUCAAGGCACCCCUCAGAGACUGCCAGCUCUUAGCUUUCACUCCUUUUUUGACUACAGAAAACUAAUAGAGCAAUUCUUCUGUGAAAAAGAACUUGGAAAGAGCACAAAUAGGUCAAAAUUGUUUUUGUCACUGUAGAUUCCUAUUUGAAAUCUCUGGGUUUAUGUUGUGAAUCAUUUGUAGAUAUUUACACAUCUAAUGGUGCCAAUAUUGCACAGCACCCUUAAAAGUAUCUUAUGGCACCCUAGGGUAUUGUGGUAUGGUUGAGAAUUGGUGUCCUAAAAAAACAAGGAUUCUGACAUCAAAGAGAGAAUCUGGAAAUGAAAAGGUCAUCAUGGGCAUACGAUGUACUGAGAAUUUGAUGAGAACAUGACAUUUUGUGUAAGGACAAAGCAUCAUCAUUAUCUGCAUGACUGCCUUCAGCUAGAGAAAGUGUCCCAUUGCAACACUGGGAGGUCCUGCACUCACUGCUCCCCUGGUAGCUUGUCUGCUGCUUCCUGUAGAUUCUGUUUCAACUCCAAUGUCCAUCGAGUUAAAGCAGCCCAGUAACCUUCUCAUCUGAAAAAUGAAUAAACCUCGGUAUCACCUUCCAAUCUUGUUCCUGCUCAUGCCAUGCUGAACAUCCACCGAAGGGUAUAUGUCACUCCUAGGUGCAUCAUCCUAUUUCUUUUUGUUGAUAUGUUUUAUUCUCCCCAAACAGCUUGCUUAGCUAUGGGCUAAUGUAAGCAAUGUCUUGGUUAGCUGACUCUCAUGUAAAACAAAACCUACACCUGUCUGCGUGCAGCAAUGUGGUUUGGAGAAGAUGAUUUCUGAGGUAAGCUAGUUGUUCUUCACAGCCUACUGUAAAGGUAAGUAGGAGGACCCCUGGGGAGGGGAUCAGGGGGACAUUUCAAGGCAAAGGUGAGAAAGGAAGAUGGGAAUGGAAGGAGGAAUUUGGCCAGUGGAGUAGGGAGCUUGAUUGGUAAAAGGGAAACAUGGGGAGCUACAAGGGGCAUUUAGGAGAGAGUGAAAGGACAUGGUGUGGGGGUGGGGGGCAGGGAAGAUGUUUAAAGGGACACUUAGGAUAAACAGAUGUUCCUUGUCAUUUAAGGGGUAAGUGUCUUCCAUGGCUUUUUUUUUUGUGGGUGGGAAGGGGAUGGAGCUCUAUCCUACAGUGCAAUAUGGGGAGUUUUGGAUGGGUGCUACCACUAGCACCUUCCAACAGCCAGGAACUUAAUCUAGUAAUAGUCUCCAAAAACAUGAAGCACUUGUGCAUUCAUAUCUCAUCCCUCGCUGAUAGCACUCUGUCCGCUUACCAUAAGCUGAGCCUUGUAGCUCACAGGGACUGUACACAAUGUCUGGAGGCAUUCUCUGCUUACACACACUAUGGAGGAGUUUUCUGGAUCUGGCAAGAUCAUGCGUAGUUCAGCUAAACUGCAUCUCAGCUGCAGGACAUCAUCUUGUGACACCUGACAUGGAGUGUGCAACUUUUUAUUGUAAAUAUUUAAAUUCUCCUUUUGGUUUCUGUCUCACUGUGUGAAAGAAUGACACAAAAAAGAUCAUCAGUCAUCAUUUUGAUGGAAUUUACUAACACUAUACUUAAAUCUCUAGGAGGUAAAAGUAUUAAAUUAAAAAAAACACACUCUUUGA
Molecule: RNA transcript, 6918 nt
Organism: Alligator mississippiensis (American alligator)
Lineage: Eukaryota; Metazoa; Chordata; Crocodylia; Alligatoridae
Gene: JMJD7
Gene name: jumonji domain containing 7
Exons: 9
Source: RefSeq, a predicted model, not a curated record